GUCGCGGCUGGGCGAUCGGUGGUGCGCUUGCGAGAACAGGCAGCAGGGACUAGGGUCAUUUCCGUUUACGAUUCGACGUCAUCCACGCUCCCGAAGGCCCGUGUGUUUUUGUGUUUCUUUGGGGCCACGAUGAUUAACGCUAAUUUAACAUUGAAGUUUUUGAAAUUGGAAUUAGGUUUCUUCGGAUAU
Molecule: non-coding RNA, 189 nt
Organism: Nylanderia fulva
Lineage: Eukaryota; Metazoa; Arthropoda; Insecta; Hymenoptera; Formicidae
Source: RefSeq, a predicted model, not a curated record